This 306-nucleotide long non-coding RNA is filed under the name Oryza brachyantha (malo sina). Its description in RNAcentral is "long non-coding RNA (OBRA_LNC000105)". Lineage: Eukaryota; Viridiplantae; Streptophyta; Magnoliopsida; Poales; Poaceae. The record is from RNAcentral.
UCCUCCAGUGGUCUAGCCUCACUUUAGCGCAUGUAGAUCAAGCACUGCCAUGUAUACUGCCAUGAGCGUCAACAAUUGUUGCUAUCCUUUUGAUUGCUCGCAACCAUGGCCAUUUCUUUACGUAUUAAUUGUAAUAUAUACUUGGAUCGAUAUUGCUGCUGUUUUUGUUUCAAGACUAGCUUGGAGGAUAACUAAUUUGGGUAGAAAGAAAAAAAACAUGUAAAUUACAUGUAGGUGGGUUGGAUACAGUAGCUAGUUGGAGGCAACUAUUAUUGAGUUUGUUUAGUACGUUCUGAAAGUACAAUC